CGGUGGAUCACUUGGCUCAUGGAUCGAUGAAGACCGCAGCUAAAUGCGCGUCAUAAUGUGAACUGCAGGACACAUGAACAUUGAUAAGUUGAACGCAUAUUGCACGUCGUGGGAACCUACCAUGACGUACACAUACUUGAGCGCUUAUAAUUAGAAGUGGAAACGUGGACUUACGCAGUGAUUGGUGCUGGUCACCACGUCACGGUCGUGAAUAAUGAUGUAAGAUGGGGUCUCGUCGACCCGCUUGCAUUUAAAACGUGUGUGUUGGAAAAACCGCUAAGAAGGCAGACAAGUAGAAAGGGCUGUGUUCCCGCGGACGGCGGAGGAAGUAUAUUGAGCAGGCGCGUCCUUUGCUAUGUGUAGGUAUGGAACAGGUGUCUUCCUCUUCUAUUUUAAUUUUUUUUAAAAUUGAGGUAAGGCACCAACAAGUUUCGAUCGAGAUAGCAUGUACGCAAAUAAUCAUUGUAUGGAACCCCUGAACAACGGAACACUUAUGGCACUAGAGAACACUACCCAGAUUUGUUAUGUUAGCGGGCUGGACAACAAUAAUACAGCAAACAAAGGUCAAACAAUUAUCACUCCAAGAGUGAGGCCACUCGGUGGUCAGAUAAGCCUCAAGUUAUGUGUGACAACCCCCUGAAUUUAAGCAUAUUAAUAAGGGGAGGAAAAGAAACUAAC
This 678-nucleotide ribosomal RNA is filed under the name Anopheles sinensis. RNAcentral describes it as "eukaryotic LSU rRNA". The stretch from base 1 to 146 matches the Rfam family "5.8S ribosomal RNA". The record is from RNAcentral. Lineage: Eukaryota; Metazoa; Arthropoda; Insecta; Diptera; Culicidae.